GAUGAAGAACGCAGCGAAAUGCGAUAAGUAAUGUGAAUUGCAGAAUUCAGUGAAUCAUCGAAUCUUUGAACGCACAUUGCGCCCGCCAGUAUUCUGGCGGGCAUGCCUGUUCGAGCGUCAUUACAACCCUCAGGCCCCCGGGCCUGGCGUUGGGGAUCGGCGGAAGCCCCCUGUGCGCACACGCCGUCCCUCAAAUACAGUGGCGGUCCCGCCGCAGCUUCCAUUGCGUAGUAGCUAACACCUCGCAACUGGAGAGCGGCGCGGCCAUGCCGUAAAACACCCAACUUCUGAAUGUUGACCUCGAAUCAGGUAGGAAUACCCGCUGAACUUAAGCAUAUCAAUAAGCGGAGGA
RNAcentral lists this unclassified non-coding RNA (352 nucleotides) under soil metagenome. RNAcentral describes it as "partial contains 5.8S ribosomal RNA, internal transcribed spacer 2, and large subunit ribosomal RNA". The stretch from base 1 to 120 matches the Rfam family "5.8S ribosomal RNA", at positions 35 to 154 of the family's 154-position model. The record is from RNAcentral.